This 896-nucleotide long non-coding RNA is filed under the name Anas platyrhynchos platyrhynchos (common mallard). RNAcentral describes it as "lncRNA (ENSAPLG00000026717.1)". The record is from RNAcentral. Lineage: Eukaryota; Metazoa; Chordata; Aves; Anseriformes; Anatidae.
AUGUGGAAGUUGCAUGCAAAUAUCCCUUCUCUCUCCCUCUCGCUAGCUGCACACAACUUCCACACGAAGGACGUCUGUAUUUACAAAGACUGCGGUAGGCCCUGGAUUUCCAUCCUCCCAGAGGAUGGGCUGGUAAGUGCUGUGUGCUCCCGAUGCAGGACAGCUCCAGGUAGGAGCACCAUAUAUUAUUUAGGCCUCAAGACAAUUAGUUUAGAAUGCCUUUUUUUUUUUUUUUUGAUAAUAUUUUUGAGAAACAGCAUUACAAAAGGUUAAACAUAGAACAGAUGUAAGUUAUAAAAUACAAGCUGAUCAAAGCUCAGAUUUUGAGACAGAUAUGUUAGCAAAUGAUGAUAAAUCAGUCCCACUAGAAUUGUAAGAAGCAGACAAAUGUAACUGCAAGAGUGAAAGUCAAGAGUUGAAAACAGGGAAAGGAAGAAAAAGAGUGGAAACAAAUGUUGAAGUUAAUUCUAGACAACUUGUAUAGAACAUCAACUGCCUAUAUUCCACAAAAAGGGAAUAUUAUCUACUGACACACCCAAUUUGCCUUCAACAUGGGACUCAAAUGCUUUAAAAUCUUAAUAUUUGCUUAAUAUAUACAAAUUUCUACCCAUUUCCUCUUUUAGUAGCUGGUCUUCUUAAAAGAUUUCCAAUUUCAACAAGAUCUGUGCUAUCAUAAAGCUGUAAAAGGGCUAGAAAAUUUUAUAAAAGCAGGUACUAACUGGAAAGCUGAAACCACUUUUAGUCACCCUGCCGAUUUAAAAAACAAAACAAAACAAAAACUUCUAAACGCAUCUAAGUUCACACAAAAUGUAUAGAAAUUCAGACAUUUGAAUGAAAGUCGAGGGUUCAAUUUCUUCCCCUUUCGUAGGCAAAUAAAUAAAACGCAGUGAGAAGCA